This 22-nucleotide microRNA is filed under the name Gallus gallus (chicken). Its description in RNAcentral is "gga-miR-1616". The record is from miRBase by way of RNAcentral. Lineage: Eukaryota; Metazoa; Chordata; Aves; Galliformes; Phasianidae.
UGGAUCCUGCAGUUUGCUUUCA